Molecule: transfer RNA, 74 nt
Filed under: Candidatus Falkowbacteria bacterium CG1_02_37_21
Lineage: Bacteria; Candidatus Falkowiibacteriota
Description: tRNA-Ala
Rfam family: tRNA
About the family: Transfer RNA (tRNA) molecules are approximately 80 nucleotides in length. Their secondary structure includes four short double-helical elements and three loops (D, anti-codon, and T loops). Further hydrogen bonds mediate the characteristic L-shaped molecular structure. tRNAs have two regions of fundamental functional importance: the anti-codon, which is responsible for specific mRNA codon recognition, and the 3' end, to which the tRNAs corresponding amino acid is attached (by aminoacyl-tRNA synthetases). tRNAs cope with the degeneracy of the genetic code in two manners: having more than one tRNA (with a specific anti-codon) for a particular amino acid; and 'wobble' base-pairing, i.e. permitting non-standard base-pairing at the 3rd anti-codon position.
Source: RNAcentral
GGGCCCUUAGCUCAGUUGGUUAGAGCGCCGGCUUUGCAAGCCGGAGGCCAAGAGUUCGAAUCUCUUAGGGUCCA